This 465-nucleotide ribosomal RNA is filed under the name uncultured Klebsiella sp. RNAcentral describes it as "bacterial SSU rRNA". It matches the Rfam family "Bacterial small subunit ribosomal RNA", at positions 338 to 795 of the family's 1533-position model. Lineage: Bacteria; Pseudomonadati; Pseudomonadota; Gammaproteobacteria; Enterobacterales; Enterobacteriaceae. The record is from RNAcentral.
CCUACGGGCGGCAGCAGCGGGGAAUAUUGCACAAUGGGCGCAAGCCUGAUGCAGCCAUGCCGCGUGUGUGAAGAAGGCCUUCGGGUUGUAAAGCACUUUCAGCGGGGAGGAAGGCGGUGAGGUUAAUAACCUCAUCGAUUGACGUUACCCGCAGAAGAAGCACCGGCUAACUCCGUGCCAGCAGCCGCGGUAAUACGGAGGGUGCAAGCGUUAAUCGGAAUUACUGGGCGUAAAGCGCACGCAGGCGGUCUGUCAAGUCGGAUGUGAAAUCCCCGGGCUCAACCUGGGAACUGCAUUCGAAACUGGCAGGCUAGAGUCUUGUAGAGGGGGGUAGAAUUCCAGGUGUAGCGGUGAAAUGCGUAGAGAUCUGGAGGAAUACCGGUGGCGAAGGCGGCCCCCUGGACAAAGACUGACGCUCAGGUGCGAAAGCGUGGGGAGCAAACAGGAUUAGAUACCCCUGUAGUC